AACGAACGCUGGCGGCAUGUCUAACACAUGCAAGUCGAACGAGACCUUCGGGUCUAGUGGCGCACGGGUGCGUAACGCGUGGGAACCUGCCCUUAGGUUCGGAAUAACUCCCCGAAAGGGGUGCUAAUACCGGAUAAUGUCUUCGGACCAAAGAUUUAUCGCCUUUGGAUGGGCCCGCGUUGGAUUAGCUAGUUGGUAGGGUAAAAGCCUACCAAGGCGACGAUCCAUAGCUGGUCUGAGAGGAUGAUCAGCCACACUGGGACUGAGACACGGCCCAGACUCCUACGGGAGGCAGCAGUGGGGAAUAUUGGACAAUGGGCGAAAGCCUGAUCCAGCAAUGCCGCGUAAGUGAUGAAGGCCUUAGGGUUGUAAAGCUCUUUUACCCGGGAUGAUAAUGACAGUACCGGGAGAAUAAGCUCCGGCUAACUCCGUG
Molecule: ribosomal RNA, 433 nt
Filed under: uncultured bacterium
Lineage: Bacteria
Description: partial 16S ribosomal RNA
Rfam family: Bacterial small subunit ribosomal RNA
Source: RNAcentral